This 410-nucleotide transfer-messenger RNA is filed under the name Candidatus Dojkabacteria. RNAcentral describes it as "GWF2-39-15 sp000993565 Standard tmRNA". It matches the Rfam family "transfer-messenger RNA". Rfam says of the family: Bacterial tmRNA, also known as 10Sa RNA or SsrA, is named for its dual tRNA and mRNA-like properties. Its role is to liberate the mRNA from a stalled ribosome. The record is from RNAcentral.
GGGGACGUAAGGCAUUCGACAGAGGUUAGAGUAUAUGUAUCACAAGCAGAGUUGUAGCUCUUCAAAAACAACAAGAUAACUGCAAAAAAUACAGUUAACACUUUCUUAAGUAAGGUACAGGAGUUAGGUGCAAGAUUAACCUCUUCACUUAGUUUCUCUUAUUUAGGUUAGUUUAGUCUUAUUUAGACUAACGAUUAUUAAUCUUGCCCCUGAUCAGGGUUAGUAGUCGGACGUUAUCAGGGUAUAUCAUUUUCGGUUUCCGAUAAGCUGAAUUUGAUGAACAUUUUAUCGGUCAGGAAUAUUGUUCUUCUUGUCUUUAGAUAUUCUUGGUAAAUUAAGACAGGAUAAGCUUGUAUAAUGGUACAAUACAAUACUUUUGGACGUGGGUUCAAUUCCCACCGUCUCCACCA